CCUACGGGGGGCAGCAGUGAGGAAUAUUGGUCAAUGGGCGGAAGCCUGAACCAGCCAAGUAGCGUGCGGGAUGAAUGCCCUACGGGUCGUAAACCGCUUUUGCAUGGGGAGAACACCCUCUACUUGUGGAGGUCUGCAGGUACCGUGCGAAUAAGCGCCGGCUAAUUCCGUGCCAGCAGCCGCGGUAAUACGGAGGGCGCGAGCGUUAUCCGGAUUCAUUGGGCUUAAAGGGAGCGUAGGCGGCAGUAUAAGUUAGCGGUAAAAUAGCGCGGCUCAACCGCGCUACGCAGUUAAUACUGGAGACCUAGAGAUCAGAAGAGGCAGGCGGAAUUAGUGAAGUAGCGGUGAAAUGCAUAGAUAUAACGAGGAACCCCGAUAGCGAAGGCAGCCUGCCGGGGUGCGUCUGACGCUGAGGCACGAAGGCACGGGUAUCGAACAGGAUUAGAUACCCCUGUAGUC
RNAcentral lists this ribosomal RNA (459 nucleotides) under uncultured bacterium. Its description in RNAcentral is "partial 16S ribosomal RNA". It matches the Rfam family "Bacterial small subunit ribosomal RNA", at positions 338 to 795 of the family's 1533-position model. The record is from RNAcentral.